This is a long non-coding RNA of Magallana angulata, 651 nucleotides long. RefSeq lists it as uncharacterized. Lineage: Eukaryota; Metazoa; Mollusca; Bivalvia; Ostreida; Ostreidae. The transcript has 4 exons. The record is from RefSeq and is a predicted model, not a curated record.
GUCACGUUUCCUACUUUUUAAAGAUUAAGACAUGCUCCGAACCCAUGACCUACAUAUCUGUUCGCUAUUGGUAUCUAACAGAGUUUAAAAGGCAACAAGAAGAAAACAAAAUAACUUAAGGAGGAUGCAUCUCAGAGCUAUAACAUUCAUUCACAUGAUCCUGAUUUGUUCAAUACCAGUUCUAAAAGCUCACUCAGAUGGAACAGAGUUGAAAGUUGCAGAGACGUCAGUAUGUCACUAUGUGGUCAAGGGCGGGAUUCUAAUUGCUGGGUUUAUGUUCUUCAAAGUGGUAAUUUUACCAAUGCUUGGCAUUACAUCUUCGGGAAUAGUUCCUGGAUCUAUUGCUGAUAAAGUUUACAUCGCUUUAAUCAACGCAAAGGGUUACAUAAUAACGAAAAACAGCUUUGUUGAAAGUUUGAUUUCAAAACAGGCUGUUAAGUAUGGAUUGAGUGUUGCCCCAUCUAUCGGUAAAAAGCUGUAUCAAACCAUAGACCCAUAUCUUAGCAUGGUUGCCUCCUAUGUGUGUGAGUAGAUUCAAUGCACAUCAAAAUCCUCUGGCUUUACAUGUAUAGUUGGACUUUUUUUCUACAUGUUAAAACAUUAUUUUUGGGUUUAGUAUAAUGUGAAUGAAAUCAAUAUUUCAAAUAAAAA